RNAcentral lists this non-coding RNA (150 nucleotides) under Solanum lycopersicum (tomato). RNAcentral's name for it is "Bacterial large subunit ribosomal RNA". It matches the Rfam family "Bacterial large subunit ribosomal RNA", at positions 2657 to 2813 of the family's 2925-position model. Lineage: Eukaryota; Viridiplantae; Streptophyta; Magnoliopsida; Solanales; Solanaceae. The record is from Rfam by way of RNAcentral.
GAGAACUGCGAGGAGCCAACCCUAGUACGAGAGGAUUGGGCUGGGCUAACCUAUGAUGUACCGGUUGUUAUGCCAAUAGCUGCGCCGGGCAGCUAAGUUGGUAUGGAAGAACUGCUGCGCCGCGGAAAAUCCUUCUCUAUACAAGUUCUC